GACGAACGCUGGCGGCGUGCUUAACACAUGCCAGUCGAACGGUGAAGCAGAGCUUGCUCUGUGGAUCAGUGGCGAACGGGUGAGUAACACGUGAGUAACCUGCCCUUGACUCUGGGAUAAGCGUUGGAAACGACGUCUAAUACCGGAUACGAGCUGAGACCGCAUGGUCAUCAGUUGGAAAGAUUUUUUGGUCAAGGAUGGACUCGCGGCCUAUCAGCUUGUUGGUGAGGUAAUGGCUCACCAAGGCGACGACGGGUAGCCGGCCUGAGAGGGUGACCGGCCACACUGGGACUGAGACACGGCCCAGACUCCUACGGGAGGCAGCAGUGGGGAAUAUUGCACAAUGGGCGCAAGCCUGAUGCAGCAACGCCGCGUGAGGGAUGACGGCCUUCGGGUUGUAAACCUCUUUUAGUAGGGAAGAAGCGAAAGUGACGGUACCUGCAGAAAAAGCACCGGCUAACUACGUG
Molecule: ribosomal RNA, 467 nt
Filed under: uncultured bacterium
Lineage: Bacteria
Description: partial 16S ribosomal RNA
Rfam family: Bacterial small subunit ribosomal RNA
Source: RNAcentral